Molecule: ribosomal RNA, 387 nt
Filed under: uncultured bacterium
Lineage: Bacteria
Description: bacterial SSU rRNA
Rfam family: Bacterial small subunit ribosomal RNA
Source: RNAcentral
AUUGAACGCUGGCGGCAUGCCUUACACAUGCAAGUCGAACGGCAGCACGGGGGCAACCCUGGUGGCGAGUGGCGAACGGGUGAGUAAUACAUCGGAACGUGCCCUGAAGUGGGGGGAUAACGUAGCGAAAGUUACGCUAAUACCGCAUAUUCUGUGAGCAGGAAAGCAGGGGAUCGCAAGACCUUGUGCUUUAGGAGCGGCCGAUGUCGGAUUAGCUAGUUGGUGAGGUAAAGGCUCACCAAGGCGACGAUCCGUAGCGGGUCUGAGAGGAUGAUCCGCCACACUGGGACUGAGACACGGCCCAGACUCCUACGGGAGGCAGCAGUGGGGAAUUUUGGACAAUGGGCGCAAGCCUGAUCCAGCCAUGCCGCGUGAGUGAAGAAGGCC